This 739-nucleotide ribosomal RNA is filed under the name uncultured Staphylococcus sp. RNAcentral's name for it is "bacterial SSU rRNA". It matches the Rfam family "Bacterial small subunit ribosomal RNA", at positions 61 to 782 of the family's 1533-position model. Lineage: Bacteria; Bacillati; Bacillota; Bacilli; Caryophanales; Staphylococcaceae. The record is from RNAcentral.
GUCGAGCGAACGGAUGAGAAGCUUGCUUCUCUGAUGUUAGCGGCGGACGGGUGAGUAACACGUGGAUAACCUACCUAUAAGACUGGGAUAACUUCGGGAAACCGGAGCUAAUACCGGAUAAUAUUUUGAACCGCAUGGUUCAAAAGUGAAAGACGGUCUUGCUGUCACUUAUAGAUGGAUCCGCGCUGCAUUAGCUGGUUGGUAAGGUAACGGCUUACCAAGGCAACGAUGCAUAGCCGACCUGGGAGGGUGAUCGGCCACACUGGAACUGAGACACGGUCCAGACUCCUACGGGAGGCAGCAGUAGGGAAUCUUCCGCAAUGGGCGAAAGCCUGACGGAGCAACGCCGCGUGAGUGAUGAAGGUCUUCGGAUCGUAAAACUCUGUUAUUAGGGAAGAACAUAUGUGUAAGUAACUGUGCACAUCUUGACGGUACCUAAUCAGAAAGCCACGACUAACUACGUGCCAGCAGCCGCGGUAAUACGUAGGUGGCAAGCGUUAUCCGGAAUUAUUGGGCGUAAAGCGCGCGUAGGCGGUUUUUUAAGUCUGAUGUGAAAGCCCACGGCUCAACCGUGGAGGGUCAUUGGAAACUGGAAAACUUGAGUGCAGAAGAGGAAAGUGGAAUUCCAUGUGUAGCGGUGAAAUGCGCAGAGAUAUGGAGGAACACCAGUGGCGAAGGCGACUUUCUGGUCUGUAACUGACGCUGAUGUGCGAAAGCGUGGGGAUCAAACAGGAUUAGA